GUGUAAGCAAAGGUAGGCCUCUGUAUAUGCUACUGCUUGAUGAGGGGGUCGUGCGUACCAUUAGCUAGUAGGUGGGGGUAAUGGCCCACCCUAGGCUACGAUGGUUAGCGGGUCUGAGAGGAUGAUCCGCCACACUGGCACUGGAACACGGGCCGAGACUCCUACGGGAGGGCAGCAGUGAGGAAUAUUGCGCAAUGGGGGCAACCCUGACGCAGCGACGCCGCGUGUGUGAAGAAGGCCUUCGGGUUGUAAAGCACUUUCAGCGAGGAGGAAAGGGUGGCGGCUAAUACCUGUCAUCUGUGACGUUACUCGCAGAAGAAGCACCGGCUAACUCCGUG
Molecule: ribosomal RNA, 338 nt
Filed under: uncultured bacterium
Lineage: Bacteria
Description: bacterial SSU rRNA
Rfam family: Bacterial small subunit ribosomal RNA
Source: RNAcentral